RNAcentral lists this unclassified non-coding RNA (293 nucleotides) under Bursaphelenchus okinawaensis. RNAcentral's name for it is "ITS2". The record is from RNAcentral. Lineage: Eukaryota; Metazoa; Nematoda; Chromadorea; Rhabditida; Aphelenchoididae.
GCAAACUAACAGAAUCUUGUGUAAUAAUUUGUUCUGUUGUGUUGUGGAUAGAGUUUGCGGCGACCGUAUAGUUGCCGCAAACUGUAUAAUCGUUGUUCCGUUGAGGAACAUGGAAAUCGUUGGCUGUGAGACGUUUUUCGGAGCGUUGUUAAACUGUCAAGCGUGACGUUAUGUUUAUUGUCGCCGCGAAAGGUUGUCUGUAUGUUUUUGGAAACCUGGCUUCAGUGUAGCGUAGUGUCGUUUUGGCCGUGUGUCGAAAACGUUUGGCGGGCAGCCUACGGGUUUUUACUUGA